RNAcentral lists this ribosomal RNA (429 nucleotides) under uncultured bacterium. Its description in RNAcentral is "bacterial SSU rRNA". It matches the Rfam family "Bacterial small subunit ribosomal RNA", at positions 775 to 1204 of the family's 1533-position model. The record is from RNAcentral.
AGUCAAUAGAUACCCCGGUAGUCCAUGCCGUAAACGAUGAUUGCUAGGUGUGGGGGGUCUGACCCCUUCCGUGCCGGAGUUAAACACAAAUAAGCAAUCCACCUGGGGAGUACGGCCGCAAGGUUGAAACUCAAAGGAAUUGACGGGGGCCCGCACAAGCAGUGGAGUAUGUGGUUUAAUUCGAAGCAACGCGAAGAACCUUACCAGGUCUUGACAUCCACCGAAUCCUGUAGAGAUACGGGAGUGCCCUUCGGGGAACGGUGAGACAGGUGGUGCAUGGUUGUCGUCAGCUCGUGUCGUGAGAUGUUGGGUUAAGUCCCGCAACGAGCGCAACCCUUGUGAAUAGUUGCUACGAAAGAGCACUCUAUUCAGACCGCCGUUGACAAAACGGAGGAAGGUGGGGAUGACGUCAAAUCAUCAUGCCCCUUA